CUCCACUCUCCGGAUGCUGCUGUCUGACCCAGAUCUGGAUCUCCUGGAGAAGGACAGCCGGGAACUGUUCUAGGACCAGCAACUCCAGGAUCUGCUCUUUUGUACACUUCUCUGGCCUUAGCCACUGACAACAGAGCUUCUGGAGCUGGAGGAGGGCCUCUCGGGGUCGUGAUGCUUCUUGGUAACGGAAAUGCCAAAAGCUCUGGCAGGAUGUCUCUGGUCCAGAGUAAUUCCCUUGAAGGGAAAUUUCCUGCUCCCAGUGGGAAUCUUCUUCCAGUUUAACUAUUUGGAGAUCUUGUACUGAAGGAGUCUGGAUUUGUUGGUCCACAGCUACAGCCAUUGUUCAGGUCAGAGAAGAGCCUUGCAACUGCACUCUAAAGCUCAAACCUCUUCAUCACCUCACUGGGAAGCCAUCUUAGAACUUCCACUUAGGAGUCACUAAGUGGAACUUCUCUUGAAAUUCUAGAGUCAGAGACAUACGUUACAAAGUUAACUCUAGUAAAAAUCGCAAGUGUUAGCCCAGCAGGCUUGAGGUGAAGAAGAGAGCCUUCCUGUCCCAGCCCUGUUGCAUGCCCUGGUGCCUGUGGAGUCAGUGGUGGGGUGGCAGUUCCGGAAGUUUGAUAAGAGCAGUCAAGGGCUAGUGACCUGGUUGAAAAGUAGAGGAGCUUGAAGCUGAGAGAAUACGGACGAUUCGGCCCCGUGACAUGUUCUUCGCGGGGACGCAAGAAGCCCGAGCCCAGGCCCCAAACACGGCUAUUCGGCUAGCCACUGAGCACCUGAAGCGGAAAACCUAGCCCCAGAAGGACUCCGUGUUCUCCGGAACUACAUUUCCCAGAGGCCGCCGCCCGAAGACAGACAGCAGCGUUAGCCAAUAAAAUGGGAGAAUAUCUCAGGCGCCUAUUCGUUUCAGACGAAUCAUUGAUGACAGGUAUUUCUCAUGGCUUUAACAGUGGACUUCAGGAGUCAUGGUUAAGUAACAGGUGUGGGGCAGGUAACUGACCAAACCUCUCCUCUGAGCCUCCAUUUUCUUACCUGUAGAGUGAGGAUACUUACCUCCCUCCUAGGGCUGUCAGGAUUAAAUGAGAUGGCAGGUAAAGACCUUAGCACAGUGCCUGGCGCAUGGUAACUGCUCUGUCCAUUUUGUCACUAUAAGCUCUUCUGGUUUAUUGUAA
This 1172-nucleotide long non-coding RNA is filed under the name Pan troglodytes (chimpanzee). Its description in RNAcentral is "long non-coding RNA NONPTRT005762". Lineage: Eukaryota; Metazoa; Chordata; Mammalia; Primates; Hominidae. The record is from RNAcentral.